GAUGAACGCUGGCGGCGUGCCUAAUACAUGCAAGUCGAGCGAACGGACGAGAAGCUUGCUUCUCUGAUGUUAGCGGCGGACGGGUGAGUAACACGUGGAUAACCUACCUAUAAGACUGGGAUAACUUCGGGAAACCGGAGCUAAUACCGGAUAAUAUUUUGAACCGCAUGGUUCAAAAGUGAAAGACGGUCUUGCUGUCACUUAUAGAUGGAUCCGCGCUGCAUUAGCUAGUUGGUAAGGUAACGGCUUACCAAGGCAACGAUGCAUAGCCGACCUGAGAGGGUGAUCGGCCACACUGGAACUGAGACACGGUCCAGACUCCUACGGGAGGCAGCAGUAGGGAAUCUUCCGCAAUGGGCGAAAGCCUGACGGAGCAACGCCGCGUGAGUGAUGAAGGUCUUCGGAUCGUAAAACUCUGUUAUUAGGGAAGAACAUAUAUGUAAGUAACUGUGCACAUCUUGACGGUACCUAAUCAGAAAGCCACGGCUAACUACGUGCCAGCAGCCGCGGUAAUACGUAGGUGGCAAGCGUUAUCCGGAAUUAUUGGGCGUAAAGCGCGCGUAGGCGGUUUUUUAAGUCUGAUGUGAAAGCCCACGGCUCAACCGGUGGAGGGUCAUUGGAAACUGGAAAACUUGAGUGCAGAAGAGGAAAGUGGAAUUCCAUGUGUAGCGGCGAAAUGCGCAGAGAUAUGGAGGAACACCAGUGGCGAAGGCGACUUUCUGGUCUGUAACUGACGCUGAUGUGCGAAAGCGUGGGGAUCAAACAGGAUUAGAUACCCUGGUAGUCCACGCCGUAAACGAUGAGUGCUAAGUGUUAGGGGGUUUCCGCCCCUUAGUGCUGCAGCUAACGCAUUAAGCACUCCGCCUGGGGAGUACGACCGCAAGGUUGAAACUCAAAGGAAUUGACGGGGACCCGCACAAGCGGUGGAGCAUGUGGUUUAAUUCGAAGCAACGCGAAGAACCUUACCAAAUCUUGACAUCCUUUGACAACUCUAGAGAUAGAGCUUUCCCCUUCGGGGGACAAAGUGACAGGUGGUGCAUGGUUGUCGUCAGCUCGUGUCGUGAGAUGUUGGGUUAAGUCCCGCAACGAGCGCAACCCUUAAGCUUAGUUGCCAUCAUUAAGUUGGGCACUCUAAGUUGACUGCCGGUGACAAACCGGAGGAAGGUGGGGAUGACGUCAAAUCAUCAUGCCCCUUAUGAUUUGGGCUACACACGUGCUACAAUGGACAAUACAAAGGGCAGCGAAACCGCGAGGUCAAGCAAAUCCCAUAAAGUUGUUCUCAGUUCGGAUUGUAGUCUGCAACUGGACUACAUGAAGCUGGAAUCGCUAGUAUUCGUAGAUCAACAUGCUACGGUGAAUACGUUCCCGGGUCU
This 1373-nucleotide ribosomal RNA is filed under the name uncultured bacterium. Its description in RNAcentral is "bacterial SSU rRNA". It matches the Rfam family "Bacterial small subunit ribosomal RNA", at positions 28 to 1381 of the family's 1533-position model. The record is from RNAcentral.